Molecule: ribosomal RNA, 505 nt
Filed under: uncultured bacterium
Lineage: Bacteria
Description: partial 16S ribosomal RNA
Rfam family: Bacterial small subunit ribosomal RNA
Source: RNAcentral
GACGAACGCUGGCGGCGUGCCUAAUACAUGCAAGUCGAACGCACAGUUUAUACCGUAGCUUGCUACACCAUAGACUGUGAGUUGCGAACGGGUGAGUAACGCGUAGGUAACCUGCCUGGUAGCGGGGGAUAACUAUUGGAAACGAUAGCUAAUACCGCAUAAUAUUAAUUAUUGCAUGAUAAUUAAUUGAAAGGUGCAAUUGCACCACUACCAGAUGGACCUGCGUUGUAUUAGCUAGUAGGUGAGGUAACGGCUCACCUAGGCGACGAUACAUAGCCGACCUGGGAGGGUGAUCGGCCACACUGGGACUGAGACACGGCCCAGACUCCUACGGGAGGCAGCAGUAGGGAAUCUUCGGCAAUGGACGAAAGUCUGACCGAGCAACGCCGCGUGAGUGAAGAAGGUUUUCGGAUCGUAAAGCUCUGUUGUAAGAGAAGAACGGGUGUGAGAGUGGAAAGUUCACACUGUGACGGUAUCUUACCAGAAAGGGACGGCUAACUACGUG